GCGCUGCAAUGUCAAGUGUAGAACAACAGAUUCACAAGCAUGGUGCUUACCACGCUUGCACUGGUGCUUGACCAUGGUGACGGCGCCGCUAUGCCUCCAGUCCAGCGCGUCGGGCAUGGCGUCGGGACAGGAAUGUGCCUUGCUUCACUUUCCGUGAAGUCACUCCUUUGUACUUGUAUUGUUUCGUUUUACUCAAGUGCCUUGAUACAAGAUACUUAAAGUAUUUCUCGAUUUGACCUCAUUCCUUAUUACUAGCCCACAACCGUACUUCCGGUUAAUGUGGUCUGGACUGUCAUUCAGGUGCCAUGGAAGGACUAAAUAAGAUCACGACGGGCUCUCUUCUCAGCCUUCCUGAGUAGAAACUAAUCGGUUGUGACAGAUCCCACAAUGCUGGUUGUGGCGGGUAGGCUCAUGAACUAUGCUUAUAAGUUUGUGAUUAAUAAUGGUGGGAGUGACAGGAAGGAUGACUACCCGUUUGGUGAAUCAGAUGAAGCAUGCAACAAAAACAAACUGAAAAAGCAUGUGAUAACAAUUGAUGGCUACUGAAGCGACGUCCUGCUGGUGUACAUCAGGGACGCCUGCACCAACGAUGACGCCUUCAAGGUGCUGUGGAAGUGAGGUCAGGGCAUGGGGAUCCGGGCAAGUGCGCCAAGGAGACCGACGCGUCUUACCCGCUCAUGACCCAAGCAGUGAUUUUCCAUUGCCUCAUGUAUCAUCGACCGUCGCCAGCCUCUGGUUUUAGAUGUGAACGUGCAUGUACCAGUACUUCAUAUUGCUAUAUUUUGAUUCUGACGAAAUAA
Long non-coding RNA from Aegilops tauschii subsp. strangulata, 800 nucleotides. RefSeq lists it as uncharacterized. Lineage: Eukaryota; Viridiplantae; Streptophyta; Magnoliopsida; Poales; Poaceae. The record is from RefSeq and is a predicted model, not a curated record.